This 460-nucleotide ribosomal RNA is filed under the name uncultured bacterium. RNAcentral's name for it is "partial 16S ribosomal RNA". It matches the Rfam family "Bacterial small subunit ribosomal RNA", at positions 338 to 795 of the family's 1533-position model. The record is from RNAcentral.
CCUACGGGAGGCAGCAGUGAGGAAUAUUGGUCAAUGGACGAGAGUCUGAACCAGCCAAGUAGCGUGAAGGGUGACUGCCCUAUGGGUUGUAAACUUCUUUUAUAUGGGAAUAAAACGUUCCACGUGUGGGAUUUUGUAUGUACCAUAUGAAUAAGGAUCGGCUAACUCCGUGCCAGCAGCCGCGGUAAUACGGAGGAUCCGAGCGUUAUCCGGAUUUAUUGGGUUUAAAGGGAGCGUAGGUGGAUUGUUAAGUCAGUUGUGAAAGUUUGCGGCUCAACCGUAAAAUUGCAGUUGAAACUGGCAGUCUUGAGUACAGUAGAGGUGGGCGGAAUUCGUGGUGUAGCGGUGAAAUGCUUAGAUAUCACGAAGAACUCCGAUUGCGAAGGCAGUUCACUGGACUGCAACUGACACUGAGGCUCGAAAGUGUGGGUAUCAAACAGGAUUAGAUACCCGAGUAGUC